CCCAGACUCCUACGGGAGGCAGCAGUGGGGGAUAUUGCACAAUGGGGGGAACCCUGAUGCAGCGACGCCGCGUGGGUGAAGGAGCGUUUCGGCGCGUAAAGCCCUAUCGGCAGGGAAGAAGGAGGACGGUACCUGACUAAGAAGCCCCGGCUAACUACGUGCCAGCAGCCGCGGUAAUACGUAGGGGGCAAGCGUUAUCCGGAUUUACUGGGUGUAAAGGGGGCGCAGACGGCAGCGCAAGCCAGGAGUGAAAGCCCGGGGCCCAACCCCGGGACUGCUCUUGGAACUGCGCGGCUGGAGUGCAGGAGGGGCAGGCGGAAUUCCUGGUGUAGCGGUGAAAUGCGUAGAUAUCAGGAGGAACACCGGUGGCGAAGGCGGCCUGCUGGACUGCGACUGACGUUGAGGCCCGAAAGCGUGGGGAGCAAACAGGAUUAGAUACCCCUGUACA
RNAcentral lists this ribosomal RNA (448 nucleotides) under uncultured bacterium. Its description in RNAcentral is "partial 16S ribosomal RNA". It matches the Rfam family "Bacterial small subunit ribosomal RNA", at positions 330 to 794 of the family's 1533-position model. The record is from RNAcentral.